Osmerus eperlanus (European smelt) is the source of this 402-nucleotide long non-coding RNA. RefSeq lists it as uncharacterized. The transcript has 2 exons. The record is from RefSeq and is a predicted model, not a curated record. NCBI's taxonomy places the organism in Eukaryota, Metazoa, Chordata, Actinopteri, Osmeriformes, Osmeridae.
CACUAGACCACCUGCUCCUGGCACAACUUGUCAUGUGCAGCGUUUGAGGCGUUGCUGCUCGGAGGCGGAGGCUAGCGUCUGCCGGAGGAGGUCCAUCUCCUCGUUCAUCAGACUCCUCUGGGGGGUGACCUCCCUCUGCUGCAAUGGUCUCCUCGGUGUCUCUCAGGGUCUUCAGGUAUUCUUUCACCUGCUGGCGGAGGCGACGGUGUUUGCCCUUCAAAACCUUGGCAGCAUUGCAGAGGAAGCGCUGCUGUUUCCUCAGCGCUCCGUUCUCCUUCUCUGGGCUCCUCCAGCAGGUGUGGAAGGCGUCCUCGUGGCUCCUCCUCUCCCCUGCGGCCGCAUGCGCCCUGGCCAGCUCCUGAUGGUCGCCACCAGCCGGAACGGCACCACACAAAGCCCCAC